RNAcentral lists this ribosomal RNA (132 nucleotides) under Pallidocercospora heimii. RNAcentral describes it as "partial 18S ribosomal RNA". It matches the Rfam family "Eukaryotic small subunit ribosomal RNA", at positions 1701 to 1830 of the family's 1831-position model. RNAcentral also lists the same sequence under 1 other name. The record is from RNAcentral. Lineage: Eukaryota; Fungi; Ascomycota; Dothideomycetes; Mycosphaerellales; Mycosphaerellaceae.
GUGAGGCCUUCGGACUGGCCCAGGGAGGUCGGCAACGACCACCCAGGGCCGGAAAGUUGGUCAAACUCGGUCAUUUAGAGGAAGUAAAAGUCGUAACAAGGUCUCCGUAGGUGAACCUGCGGAGGGAUCAUU